AAUGAACGUUGGCGGCGUGGAUUAGGCAUGCAAGUCGUGCGCGAACUGUAGCAAUACAGGGAAAGCGGCGUAAGGGAGAGUAAUACGUAGGUAUCUACCCAUGGGUCUGGGAUAGCGGCGGGAAACUGCCGGUAAUACCAGAUAACGUCUCCGGACCAAAGGUGUGAUUUCACCUGUGGAGGAGCCUACGGCCUAUUAGCUAGUUGGCAGGGUAACGGCCUACCAAGGCUUGGAUGGGUACGGGGUGUGAGAGCAUGCCCCCGCUCACUGGGACUGAGACACUGCCCAGACACCUACGGGUGGCUGCAGUCGAGAAUCUUCGGCAAUGGGCGCAAGCCUGACCGAGCGACGCCGCGUGCGGGAUGAAGGCCUUCGGUUGUAACCGCUGUCGUAGGGAGUGAAACGCUAGUGAGUUAUCUCAUUAGUUUGACUGAACCUAGGAGGAAGGGACCGGCUAAUCUCGUG
Molecule: ribosomal RNA, 465 nt
Filed under: uncultured bacterium
Lineage: Bacteria
Description: bacterial SSU rRNA
Rfam family: Bacterial small subunit ribosomal RNA
Source: RNAcentral